Molecule: non-coding RNA, 100 nt
Organism: Roseburia sp. 40_7
Lineage: Bacteria; Bacillati; Bacillota; Clostridia; Lachnospirales; Lachnospiraceae
Source: Rfam
ACAGUACAAACUGAGCAGGCGAUGCCGAAAGAGGCGUGGGGCCGGGCCGCAGAUGCGGCAGCAGAUAUGAGCGAAUCAGAGACAUAUCUGUGGGACAGUG